This 460-nucleotide ribosomal RNA is filed under the name uncultured bacterium. Its description in RNAcentral is "partial 16S ribosomal RNA". It matches the Rfam family "Bacterial small subunit ribosomal RNA", at positions 338 to 795 of the family's 1533-position model. The record is from RNAcentral.
CCUACGGGAGGCUGCAGUGAGGAAUAUUGGUCAAUGGGCGCAAGCCUGAACCAGCCAAGUCGCGUGAGGGAUGACGGUCCUAUGGAUUGUAAACCUCUUUUGUCGGGGAGCAAGGCCCGCCACGUGUGGCGGGAAGGAGAGUACCCGAAGAAAAAGCAUCGGCUAACUCCGUGCCAGCAGCCGCGGUAAUACGGAGGUUGCGGGCGUUAUCCGGAUUUAUUGGGUUAAAAGGGUGCGUAGGCGGAAGGUUAAGUCAGCGGUAAAAUGUCGGUGCGCAACACCGGCCUGCCGUUGAAACUGGUCUUCUUGAGUGAGCGAGAAGUAUGCGGAAUGCGUGGUGUAGCGGUGAAAUGCAUAGAUAUCACGCAGAACUCCGAUUGCGAAGGCAGCAUACCGGCGCUCAACUGACGCUGAGGCACGAAAGCGUGGGGAUCGAACAGGAUUAGAUACCCCAGUAGUC